GACCGAGACACGGACGGAAGGGUCGACCACCAACUCCGACGAGUCCCUUCCUGCGUCCCCACAGCUGCCUGAAAUCCUGCCUGCUACUCUGGGCCCAGCUGCUUCUGGUUUCUGGGAGCUUGGGUGGUCCCUCAAGACCUUGUCCUACUUUGGGUGGAACCAGCAAUGCUUCGGUGUCCUCUGUGUAGCUGGAUGCCGAGGGACAGGAGGGCUCUCAGCAUAGCUGGUCAGCUCUGGACUGAGCGUCUGGACUCUCUCUGGGACCCUGGCUUCCAGCCACCUCAUCCCCAGCCUCCUCCCUGACCUCUUGGCCCCCAGCCCCACUCCACGCUGCCCUGGGAGGUAUUUGGAGCUGGCCCCACCCCCACCCCAGGACCAGGUCCCAGCCCUUAGCUGGGACCCUCACCUGUGGGCCCUGAAGGUUGGCCCGUGCCCACCCUUCAGUCCUCGUGUCAUAGGGCUUCUCGGCCUGCGUUGUGUUCCAGUCCCCUCUCAAUGCACCCUGUGGAACAAACAUGCUUCUUUGUCCAUGUGUAUGUACCCUUCCCUCUGAAAUUGCCCCCGCAUGUCACCUGCCACAGUCCUCUUCCUCCUUUCAUAGUCAGGUAUCAUUCCUGAGAGACAUAGUCCUGGCAUCGAGUUUACCGGCUUCCCAAGGGACCCCUUCAGUCACGAGGAGAGAAAACACAAACCUGAGCUUAAAAAUUAAAAUACAGAGACACACACAUACACACUAUUACCCCACGAAAGAAGUCCCAGGGUAGGAAGGCCUCAGGGUUGUCAGGGAACCAGGUUCUCCCAUCCCCCAUUGGGGAACUCCCCCAUGGCCCCAAAGUAGCUGCAGCUGCUCUGAUGUCACAUAUAUCUGUACCAACAUCUGGCAGGUGAAGGGGCCACACCCUUCCUGUCCUGAGCAUUGUAAGUGGGAGAGAAAUCUGUCCCUAAAGCUCCUGCUCCGGGCACCUCUCUCCUUAUGUCCCAUUGGCCCUGAGGCACAAGUAAUGGCCACGAGUCCACCAAGAUGGCAUCUACAAGUGGUGAUUCUCCUCACCUGGAAUGAGGACAGUAUCCUGGAACCAAAUUGGGAAGAGAAUAUUUGUUUAGAUUAAAUUCUGUUUUUUGUUUUGUUUGGGUGUUGGAGAUGGCACUCAAUAGUCUCAAACAUGCUAGGCAAAGGCUAUACCACCCAGCUACAUCUGCAGCCCUAAAAUUCUAUUUAAAUAAAAGUCUAGUAGGAGCACCUGAUUUUAUUGUAGUUCCAUGCAUUUUAUUUUAGUUUAAAACAGGCAAGAGCCAGUUUCUUUUUUUCUUUUUUUUUGAUAGUGGGGAUUGAACUCAGGGGCCUUAACCCUU
RNAcentral lists this long non-coding RNA (1353 nucleotides) under Marmota monax (woodchuck). Lineage: Eukaryota; Metazoa; Chordata; Mammalia; Rodentia; Sciuridae. The record is from RNAcentral.